GCCUAACGGCUGAACUGGCAACUUGGAGAAGUGGCAAGUUUUAUAAUUAAUAGUAAUUUAUAUUUCUAUUUUUAUAAAAUUCUAUUAGGAUUGAAUGAAGCUUUGUUUAUAUAUUGAUAAUGACAGUAUAUAUAUCGUGUCUUGGCCAAUUACGUGCCAGCAGCCGCGGUAAUACGUAAGAGACUAGUGUUAUUCAUCUUAAUUAGGUUUAAAGGGUACCCAGACGGUCAAUAUACCUUCUAGAAUGUUAGUACUUGACUAGAGUUUUAUGUAAGAGGGCAGUACUUGAGGAGGAGAGAUGAAAUUCCGUGAUACCAAAGGGACUCAGUAAAGGCGAAGGCAGCCCUCUAUGUAUAAACUGACGUUGAAGGACGAAGGCACAGAGAACAAACAGGAUUAGAUACCCUAAUAGUCUUUGCAGUAAAUGAUGAAUGCCAUAGGUCAGAUAAUUGUCUGGUCUAUAAAUGAAAGUGUAAGCAUUUCACCUCAAGAGUAAUGUGGCAACGCAGGAACUGAAAUCACUAGACCGUUUCUAACACCAGUAGUGAAGU
RNAcentral lists this ribosomal RNA (551 nucleotides) under Thelonectria coronata. RNAcentral's name for it is "SSU rRNA". It matches the Rfam family "Bacterial small subunit ribosomal RNA", at positions 374 to 938 of the family's 1533-position model. Lineage: Eukaryota; Fungi; Ascomycota; Sordariomycetes; Hypocreales; Nectriaceae. The record is from RNAcentral.